RNAcentral lists this long non-coding RNA (1093 nucleotides) under Vigna radiata. RNAcentral's name for it is "long non-coding RNA (VRAD_LNC000167)". Lineage: Eukaryota; Viridiplantae; Streptophyta; Magnoliopsida; Fabales; Fabaceae. The record is from RNAcentral.
UAAGAUUUUAUGAUUAUAUAAGAGUAGAACUAAGGCUAACAAAUCAUGAUAAAAUUUUCUUACAAAGAACCUGGACGUAUCCUUUAAAUUUUAGCUUUGAUGAAUAANGAUAAAAUAAUUAAGCAAGAGUGUCUCAGGAUCCAAAGUAAAAGAUAAUAAUCAGUUGUUACUUUUGGAACUAAUGCUUACCUUAAUAUAUCAGCAGUAUAAACUUGAAAUAAGACGUUUGAUGAGUAGAUNGAAGAUANACACAACUCGAUACGGUUCUAUUACUUGGUUUUCUUCUCCUUUUCGACCUGGGGUUUUUGGUACAAUAUUAUCUGACUUAGGAUGGUAAAAUUUGUUGCGACACCAAUUGCAUAGCCCAAGAGAACUUCAAAAAAAUUAAGAAAAAGUCACAAUGAUAGGAAAUAGUACANGAAGACAUUUAAAAUAACACUGCUAUACAGACCAAAAAUGUCAAUGACAGAAUUUUGUUAGUAUCAAGUCAAGGAGACCGAAGACAUGAUUUUUGAGACAUAAUGCUAAUUAAGUAACAAUGUUUCUAAUUGAUUGCUUUGGAUAUGCCCAAAGAUUACGUAGUUCCUUUUUAUAAAGAAUUCUAGAAUCUCUGCUCCCAAACACCAUUUUACCUAAAUAAACUCUGCACACGUGUGUGGUGUACACGUAUACACAAACCUUAACAAUUUGAAUUUAUGCAAGUAAACGGGAAUUCGGUGUUUAUAAAACAUGUCACGGUUUACAAGCAUUUUUUUAGGACAGAGGGCAGACAUGUCAUUUUUUUUUCCAAUCAUUCAUCUAAUAUGAGGUAAGAUGAAGUUGUCCAGUCAAAAAGGGUUAAUUUGUGAGUUACUAAAAGUUGACACAUGUAUAGAAGAAUAAUGUAGAACAAACCGAAUUGGAAAGUUGGUCAGGUUUAGUGCAACAAGUUGACAUAUGGUAAGGUAAACAUCACCAUUUUAGAAAUAUCCUUCCUAUUUAAUGUACGAACAAAAUAUGUAAGUUUUCUCCUAUAAGCUAUUCAUUGCUAGCUCUAUUCAAUGUACGAACAAAAUAACUCUAUUCAUUGCUAGAUGUGUGAAAUGAAUCUUCG